CCCCUGGUGGUCUAGUGGUUAAGACUCCAUGCUUACAAUAUAGGGGCUAUGGGUUUGAUCCCUGUUUAGGGAA
This 73-nucleotide transfer RNA is filed under the name Bos taurus (domestic cattle). It matches the Rfam family "tRNA". Rfam says of the family: Transfer RNA (tRNA) molecules are approximately 80 nucleotides in length. The record is from Rfam by way of RNAcentral. RNAcentral also lists the same sequence under 4 other names. Lineage: Eukaryota; Metazoa; Chordata; Mammalia; Artiodactyla; Bovidae.